GAUGAAGAACGUAGUGAAAUGCGAUACUUGGUGUGAAUUGCAGAAUCCCGUGAACCAUCGAGUCUUUGAACGCAAGUUGCGCCCGAAGCCACUAGGCCGAGGGCACGCCUGCCUGGGCGUCACACGCCGUUGCCCCCCCAUCUACUCCUUCGGGAUUGCGGGGGGGCGGAUGAUGGCCUCCCGUGCGCCUAGCCGCGCGGUUGGCAUACAUACCAAGUCCUCGGCGACGCACGCCACGACAAUCGGUGGUUGCGAAACCUCGGUUGCCCGUCGUGUGCGUUCGUCGCGCAUCGAGGGCUCGAAAAAAUGCUCGGCUCCGGCUGGGCUUUCAACGCGACCCCAGGUCAGGCGGGGUUACCCGCUGAAUUUAAGCAUAUCAAUAAGCGGAGGA
This 391-nucleotide unclassified non-coding RNA is filed under the name soil metagenome. Its description in RNAcentral is "partial contains 5.8S ribosomal RNA, internal transcribed spacer 2, and large subunit ribosomal RNA". The stretch from base 1 to 122 matches the Rfam family "5.8S ribosomal RNA", at positions 35 to 154 of the family's 154-position model. The record is from RNAcentral.